This 301-nucleotide ribosomal RNA is filed under the name uncultured bacterium. Its description in RNAcentral is "partial 16S ribosomal RNA". It matches the Rfam family "Bacterial small subunit ribosomal RNA", at positions 509 to 807 of the family's 1533-position model. The record is from RNAcentral.
CAGCCGCCGCGGGAACACCGAGGGUGCAAGCGUUAAUCGGAUUUACUGGGCGUAAAGCGUGUGUAGGUGGCUGUUCAAGUCGGUUGUGAAAGCCCUGGGCUCAACCUGGGAAUUGCUUCCGAGACUGAGCGGCUAGAGUACGGUAGAGGGCGGUGGAAUUUCCGGUGUAGCGGUGAAAUGCGUAGGUAUCGGAAGGAACACCAAUGGCGAAGGCAGCCGCCUGGGCCUGUACUGACACUGAGACACGAAAGCGUGGGGAUCAAACAGGAUUAGAUACCCCUGUAGUCCCUGUCUCUUAUAC